Molecule: long non-coding RNA, 641 nt
Organism: Dreissena polymorpha
Lineage: Eukaryota; Metazoa; Mollusca; Bivalvia; Myida; Dreissenidae
Exons: 3
Source: RefSeq, a predicted model, not a curated record
GAAAAUGUAUCGGCAUGUUUAUUGCUUAGUUACAGCGCGUGCAUUCGGACGCGUCUUUUCGGAUGCGUCUUUAAUCCGCUGUUCACAAGUUUUUGAUUCUUGGUCUGACGUGCAAAAAAAUGGUCCUGACCGGUUUAGAGACUGCAGCGAAUGGUUUAUCACACCUAAUCGAGAUAAGAAUGUCAUUAGGAAAAGAAAAUGUUAUUACUGGCUGAAGGACCAAAAUUGAAUGGACAGAGAACACGGUUGACAAAACUCAAACAGAAGUUGUGUCACUCAGCUACAUUAAAACAUAAAACUGAAGGCAGAAGCAACAAAUACAACAUGUGAAGAAUGAAGCAACAGCGUAAUAAAACUCGGGAGGAGAUGUUUAUGGCAUCAAGGGAAAGAUAUGCCAUUCAGAGGGACAUAAGCAAUAAUCAUGAGGAACUGGUUUCUCUUUAAAAAAAAAAUGAAAUUCUUAAUUGCUCAAUUGUUUCUGGAACUUUUAAUUGAUUUUACAUGUGAUGGUGUUCAGUGAGUCUAUGAAACUUAUUAUUACACAUACUAUCAUGUAAGAUAUAAAUUGUCAUAUGAAUUAUAAUACCAUGCCCAGUUAAUAUAUUGUACUUCCUGAUUAAUAAUAAAUAUUUGUUAAUGUU